This 253-nucleotide ribosomal RNA is filed under the name uncultured bacterium. RNAcentral describes it as "partial 16S ribosomal RNA". It matches the Rfam family "Bacterial small subunit ribosomal RNA", at positions 524 to 776 of the family's 1533-position model. The record is from RNAcentral.
UACGUAGGGUGCAAGCGUUAAUCGGAAUUACUGGGCGUAAAGCGUGCGCAGGCGGCUUUGCAAGACAGAUGUGAAAUCCCCGGGCUUAACCUGGGAACUGCAUUUGUGACUGCAUGGCUGGAGUGCGGCAGAGGGGGAUGGAAUUCCGCGUGUAGCAGUGAAAUGCGUAGAUAUGCGGAGGAACACCGAUGGCGAAGGCAAUCACCUGGACCUGUACUGACGCUCAUGCACGAAAGCCAGGGGAGCAAACGGG